GGCAGCAGUGGGGAAUAUUGCACAAUGGGCGAAAGCCUGAUGCAGCAACGCCGCGUGAGGGACGACGGCCUUCGGGUUGUAAACCUCUUUUAGUAGGGAAGAAGCGUAAAAGUGACGGUACCUGCAGAAAAAGCACCGGCUAACUACGUGCCAGCAGCCGCGGUAAUACGUAGGGUGCAAGCGUUGUCCGGAAUUAUUGGGCGUAAAGAGCUCGUAGGCGGUUUGUCGCGUCUGCUGUGAAAACCCGAGGCUCAACCUCGGGCCUGCAGUGGGUACGGGCAGACUAGAGUGCGGUAGGGGAGAUUGGAAUUCCUGGUGUAGCGGUGGAAUGCGCAGAUAUCAGGAGGAACACCAAUGGCGAAGGCAGAUCUCUGGGCCGUAACUGACGCUGAGGAGCGAAAGCAUGGGGAGCGAACAGGAUUAGAUACCCUGGUAGUCCAUGCCGUAAACGUUGGGAACUAGAUGUGGGGACCAUUCCACGGUCUCCGUGUCGCAGCUAACGCAUUAAGUUCCCCGCCUGGGGAGUACGGCCGCAAGGCUAAAACUCAAAGGAAUUGACGGGGGCCCGCACAAGCGGCGGAGCAUGCGGAUUAAUUCGAUGCAACGCGAAGAACCUUACCAAGGCUUGACAUAUAGAGGAAACGUCUGGAAACAGUCGCCCCGCAAAGGUCUCUAUACAGGUGGUGCAUGGUUGUCGUCAGCUCGUGUC
This 709-nucleotide ribosomal RNA is filed under the name uncultured bacterium. Its description in RNAcentral is "bacterial SSU rRNA". It matches the Rfam family "Bacterial small subunit ribosomal RNA", at positions 347 to 1066 of the family's 1533-position model. The record is from RNAcentral.